AUUGAACGCUGGCGGCAGGCCUAACACAUGCAAGUCGAACGGUAACAGGAAACAGCUUGCUGUUUCGCUGACGAGUGGCGGACGGGUGAGUAAUGUCUGGGAAACUGCCUGAUGGAGGGGGAUAACUACUGGAAACGGCAGCUAAUACCGCAUAACGUCGCAAGACCAAAGAGGGGGACCCUCGGGCCUCUUGCCAUCGGAUGUGCCCAGAUGGGAUUAGCUUGUUGGUGGGGUAACGGCUCACCAAGGCGACGAUCCCUAGCUGGUCUGAGAGGAUGACCAGCCACACUGGAACUGAGACACGGUCCAGACUCCUACGGGAGGCAGCAGUGGGGAAUAUUGCACAAUGGGCGCAAGCCUGAUGCAGCCAUGCCGCGUGUAUGAAGAAGGCCUUCGGGUUGUAAAGUACUUUCAGCGGGGAGGAAGGGAGUAAAGUUAAUACCUUUGCUCAUUGACGUUACCCGCAGAAGAAGCACCGGCUAACUCCGUG
This 490-nucleotide ribosomal RNA is filed under the name uncultured bacterium. Its description in RNAcentral is "partial 16S ribosomal RNA". It matches the Rfam family "Bacterial small subunit ribosomal RNA", at positions 30 to 507 of the family's 1533-position model. The record is from RNAcentral.